This 721-nucleotide ribosomal RNA is filed under the name uncultured Chloroflexota bacterium. RNAcentral describes it as "bacterial SSU rRNA". It matches the Rfam family "Bacterial small subunit ribosomal RNA", at positions 24 to 755 of the family's 1533-position model. Lineage: Bacteria; Bacillati; Chloroflexota. The record is from RNAcentral.
ACAGGAUGAACGCUGGCUUCCGUGCUUAAUACAUGCAAGUCGAACGUGAGAGAUUGCUUUCGGGUGAUCUUGAAAGUGGCGGACGGGUGAGUAACACGUAGCUGACCUACCCUGUAGUGGGGAUAACCUGCCGAAAGGCGGGCUAAUACCGCAUGAGCUUUGGGGGUUUAGAAACCUCAAAGGAAAGCUUUAGUGCUACAGGCAGGGGCUGCGGCCCAUCAGCUAGUUGGUGAGGUAACGGCUCACCAAGGCGAUGACGGGUAGGGGACCUGAGAGGGUGGCCCCCCACACUGGGACUGAGACACGGCCCAGACUCCUACGGGAGGCAGCAGUAAGGAAUAUUGGUCAAUGGGGGCAACCCUGAACCAGCGACGCCGCGUGGAGGAUGAAGGGUUUCGGCUCGUAAACUCCUUUUAGGUGGGAAGAGCAAGGACGGUGCCACCUGAAUAAGUCUCGGCUAACUACGUGCCAGCAGCCGCGGUAAAACGUAGGAGACGAGCGUUAUCCGGAUUUACUGGGCGUAAAGCGCGUGCAGGCGGUUAAGUAAGUCACUUGUGAAAGCGCCCGGNUCAACUGGGCGAGGCCGUGUGAGACUGCUUGACUCGAGAGAGGUAGAGGCGAAUGGAAUUCCGGGGUGGAGUGGUGAAAUGCGUAGAGAUCCGGAGGAACACCAGUGGNCGAANGCGAUUCGCUGGGUCCUGGCUCUGACGGCUCAGACGCG